UCACAGGCAUUUCCUUUGCAGUUUCUGGAGUAUCAGCUAGCUGCUAAGGAAGAAUCAAACUCCUUUCCUGUGAAAGAGCGGAAUGUUCAUGGAAAGAAAAACGUCAAGGGUUCCCUGUCUGGACCUCUCUCCAAUUCCACCAGCUUCUGUGUUGAGAAAGGCCAGCCUCAGACCUGCUCCUCCUCACUCUCCUCUGUCACAGUUGUUUACUGGACUGUUUGGUUUGACUUCCUGUGGACAGUGUCCACAGCACCAGCAGUUUCCACGAUGCAGGUCACAUUACUGCGUCACCUGUCAGUAAGUCAUCAAGCCCACCAAAUUCUGAGCGCUCGCUUCCAAAAGUGUGGCUGUUCUGAUUUCUACAAGGCUCCUCUUGUAGAUUUAUUGUGGGGUAAAUACAGGACUUUCUGGCCUUCAGGUUUAAGAAUCCCCUCCAUAUUUUAACAGGAUUUGACUCAGAAGCCUCAAGAAAAGAGAUAGGAAUUUGCCUUUUCAGUCCACCCCAGAAGAUUUUUUUUUGUCUUAAUUUAUCCCUAGAAAUCAGCCAGGAACUCCUAGGCCAGCAUUCUUCAGAAAGCCUUCCCCGUUGGCUUCUAGGGAAUGCAGUAGGAUUGCUAGAGAACCAGGGCUGGGGGCCCAGGACUGGACUUCCUCCUGUAGGAAAACUGAGCUUGGGUCUGCCCUGUCAGAGCCUGGAAGCCCUCUAGUACAGCUCAGACUCAGGUGCAACUCCACGGGCUCAGCCUCCUUCCUGGCACAAGUCCCACGCGUGGCGGAGCAAGGUUGCGGCAGAAGCACGGCUUUCAUCCUUACCUGGUCUGGCUGCAGGACGUCAAUCCUCUAGAGAGACAGCAGCAUCCCAGCAGCCUAGCCCAGGGCCUCAGACCACUCUGCCUACAGCCCCCCAGAGCCACUAUUACUGACCCCAGAACUAUACUGCCUCCUAGAGUCCUUGGAAUCAAGUGGGCUUCCUGCAGGCCUCUGCAGUUCGAGUAGACCCCCCAAGGUCUGAUCCGGUCCUUGGAGUGAGAGACAGAGCCUAGGAAGUUUUCCUUAUCAGUUCCCCCGUGUCCAGUUCUCUAGCACUGUCCAGUCAUACACCUGGAUCUGUUCUGAUUUCUGGGAAGCCAAUUGUUCCUCCUUGGAAUGGCCCUAGGAUAAAACCUGGUUGCAGCCUAGUGCUUUGGUGUGGGAAGCAAGUUAGCUCUCUGCCGCACCCCAGGACCCAGCAAGGCACAGAUAAUGUGCCAAACCCAGCUUUCCCGAGAGGAUCCCAGAGCCAUCUGACUGACAGAGUUGUGGCUGAGGAAAAUGGGGUGACUGGUAGUAUGUGUCAGUCGGGUGGACUAAGAAGUCACAGGGUAAGGCAGUCACAGACAGCCAGGACGUUUCAGAAGCAAGGCAGCCUAGCAGCAGACCAGCAAGCCUGACGUCAGGAGCUGAGCCCCAACUCUGAAUCAGCUCUGGCGGCCAGACAGCAGUAUCUGGGGACACAGAAAGGGCAGGCAAGAUCAAGGGCAAGGCAGAGCUACCCUGGAAGCCCAAGGGCACAGGCAGGGGUCCCUCAGCAGCAGGAAUGAAAGAGUAGUCAGAGUGGAGCCUGGGGCUCAGCAGAAGAGUCUUAAUUCCCUUAAGGCUGAAAACAGAAUUGUCCUGGAAACCUCCUGGGUCUACAAGAAUGUGACAAAGAACCCCCGUCCAUGAAGAGAAAAGGGCUUCAUGGGACUCCAGCUGACAUAGGGGAGAAUCAGCUCCUGAAGGGAGAGAAUGGCCCUCUUUCUUCUGCCCAUCUAAUGCCCUUGACCUGAACUAGCCAUGAAGGGCUUGAGUUCUCCAGGAAGCCUGGAGAGAGAGCGAUCUUUUCAUCCUCAGAAAGGACAGCACCUCAGAAACCCGUCUUGCCACCUGGUCUUUUAUGGGGUAAAAGUACAGGAGACCCUCAGAAUUGCGGGGCAAAUAGCACCUCAAAUGUGAAAUCAUAUGAACUGGUAUGAUUAAGGAAAAAGGCUCCCUCGUUUUUAAGAUCACAGAACUUCUACACCCAAGUUAACUCUGUCCCCCAAAACCUUAUCACCAGGCUGUAAGAUGCGUAUGGCUUUCCAGAGUAGUGCUUUUGGGCAAAAGCAUUUUUGGGCAUCCUAGUAUUUUAAUAGGUAAUAUAUUAAUGUCGUAUACCAGUUGAAGGAGUAUUGAUUUUUAUUGUGUUGAGCAAACAUCAGUAACGCUUUUGGGCCAAAGCAUUACUCUGGAAAACCACACACCUCACACGCUGGUGAUGCCAUCGCUGGGGAUGUUUUGAGACGCGUCCCAUGGAGGCCUUCAGAGACCAUUUACAGGCGCCAGAGAAGCAGCAGCACGGCAGCCUCAUAAAACCACACCUUGCUUUUGGCCGAGAAUGGUGUUAUUAUCACCAUAUUAGUCAGGACCAGGAUGAGAAAACCAAAUCAAACCAGCCUUCCUAUGUCUUUUUCACCCCAUUUUUAAAGGUUUUAUAGCUCUACAGUUUACAUUUGAGUUUGUGAUCCAUUUUGAGUUAAUUGUUAUAAAAGGCAUAAGACUUAAAGUUGUGAUUAAUUGGAUGAUUAUUUUGCCUACGAAUGUCCAGUUGCUCCAGUAUUAUUUUUUGAAAAUAAUAUCUAUCUACACUCCAUUAAACCAUCUUUACGCCUUGUCAGAAAUCGGUGCGGCUUAUUUGUGUAGGUCCAUUUCUGGGUCCUGUGUUCUGUUCCAUUGAUAGGGUUUGUGUUACCUCCACCAUUGCUAUGUGUCUUGAUCCGUGUAGCUCUUAUAGUAAGUCUUGUAAUCGGAUUCUACACAAAAUUUAUUUCAGGAAAUAGAAGUCUUCAAUUGGAUUCCUCCCACUUUAUUCUUCUUUUUCAAAAUUGUUUACUAUUUUAGUGCCUUUCCGUUUUCUUUCUUUCUUUUUUUUUUUUUUGAGACGGAGUUUCGCUCUUGUUACCCAGGCUGGAGUGCAAUGGCGCGAUCUCAGCUCACCGCAACCUCCACCUCCUGGGUUCAGGCAAUUCUCCUGCCUCAGCCUCCUGAGUAGCUGGGAUUACAGGCACGCGCCACCAUGCCCAGCUAAUUUUUUGUAUCUUUAGUAGAGACGGGGUUUCACCAUGUUGACCAGGAUGGUCUCGAUCUCUUGACCUCAUGAUCCACCUGCCUCGGUGCCUUUCCCGUUUCAUGCACAUUUUAGAAUAAUCUUCUAUAUCUAAAAAAAAAGGAUAAUCCUGGGAUUUCAAUAGGAAAUGUAUUAAACCCAUGUAUCAGUUUAAGGAGAACCGACAUUUUUUAUUGUAUUGAGUCUUCCAAUCCCUGACCAUGGAUGUCUCUCUAUUUAGUUAGAUUAUAUUUAUUUCAUUAGUGUUUUGUGGUCUUCAGCGUGUAAGUGUUCCACAUUUCAUUAGCUUUACCUAGUCUUGUAUAUUUUUGUUAAAUUUAUGUUUAAGUGUUUUAGUUUUUCCUGAGCAAUUGUAAAUGGUAUUGUAUUUUUAAUUUCAAUGGCCACAUGUUCAUUGCUAGUGUAUAAAAACACACUUAAUUUUUGUAUAUUAUUUAUGCCCUCUCCUGUGGCCCCACUAAACUUACUUUUUAGUUGUAGGAGGUUUUCUUUCUCUCUCUCUCUCUCUCUUUUUUUUUUUUUUUGGUAUAUUCUUUGGAAUUCUCUAUGUGCGUAGUCAUGUCAUUUGCAAACAGGGACCAUUUAAUUUCUUACUCUUCUGUCUGAGUGCCUUCUAUUCCCUCUUCUUGUUUUGUUUCACUGGCUAGAAAGUCCAACACAUGUUGAAUUAGAGUGUAGACAUUUCUGCCUUCUUCCUAAAUUCAGGGCUGAAAUAUUCAGUCUCAGUAGCAAGUGUUGGUUACUUGUGGGGUUGCUGUAGGUGCUCUUUCCUGAGUUGAGGGACUUUCCUCUAUUGGUAGUUUUCUGCGUUGUUUUUAAUCAUAAAUGGAUAUUAAAUUUUGUCAAAUGAUUUUUUUCUGCCUAAAUUAAUAUGAUUGUGUAAUUUUCUCCUUUAGCUUACUAAUGAGAUAGAUUAUAUGAUUGAUCCUUGAAUAUUAAAUCAUCCUUGGGAUGGACUUUAUUUUAUUCUGAUAUAAAAUUUUUCUUAUACAUCACUAAAUUCUGUUUGCUAAUAACUUGCUAAGGAUUUAGCAUUGAUACUCAUGAGCUAUACCGAUCAGUAGUUUUCUUUUUUUAGUAAAGUCUUUGAUUUUGGUAUUAG
Molecule: long non-coding RNA, 4226 nt
Organism: Callithrix jacchus (white-tufted-ear marmoset)
Lineage: Eukaryota; Metazoa; Chordata; Mammalia; Primates; Cebidae
Source: Ensembl